GACGAACGCUGGCGGCGUGCUUAACACAUGCAAGUCGAACGGAAAGGCCCUGCUUGCAAGGUACUCGAGUGGCGAACGGGUGAGUAACACGUGGGUGAUCUGCCCUGCACUUCGGGAUAAGCCUGGGAAACUGGGUCUAAUACCGGAUAGGAGCCAUUUUUAGUGUGAUGGUUGGAAAGUUUUUUCGGUGUAGGAUGAGCUCGCGGCCUAUCAGCUUGUUGGUGGGGUAAUGGCCUACCAAGGCGGCGACGGGUAGCCGGCCUGAGAGGGUGGACGGCCACAUUGGGACUGAGAUACGGCCCAGACUCCUACGGGAGGCAGAAGUGGGGAAUAUUGCACAAUGGGCGCAAGCCUGAUGCAGCGACGCCGCGUGGGGGAUGACGGCCUUCGGGUUGUAAACUCCUUUCGCUAGGGACGAAGCUUUUUGUGACGGUACCUAGAGAAGAAGCACCGGCUAACUACGUG
Molecule: ribosomal RNA, 465 nt
Filed under: uncultured bacterium
Lineage: Bacteria
Description: partial 16S ribosomal RNA
Rfam family: Bacterial small subunit ribosomal RNA
Source: RNAcentral